Molecule: small RNA, 302 nt
Filed under: Pongo abelii (Sumatran orangutan)
Lineage: Eukaryota; Metazoa; Chordata; Mammalia; Primates; Hominidae
Description: processed transcript
Source: RNAcentral
CAUUUUGUCCCAGUCAGUCCGGAGGCUGUGGUUGCAGAGGUGCCGCCUGCGGAGUAACUGCAAAGAUGCUGUCCGUGCGAGUUGCUGCGGCCGUGGUCCGCGCCCUCCCUCGGCGGGCCGGACUGGUCUCCAGAAAUGCUUUGGGUUCAUCUUUCAUUGCUGCAAGGAACUUCCAUGCCUCUAACACUCAUCUUCAGAAGACUGGUAAGUUAUUAUUUCUCAGUCUACACCGCCCUUACUAGAUGAAGAUAUAAAUUAUCACACUAGAUUAAGAUAUAAAUUAUAUACAUCAUGUAACUGUU